This 253-nucleotide ribosomal RNA is filed under the name uncultured bacterium. Its description in RNAcentral is "partial 16S ribosomal RNA". It matches the Rfam family "Bacterial small subunit ribosomal RNA", at positions 524 to 776 of the family's 1533-position model. The record is from RNAcentral.
UACGUAGGGACCGAGCGUUGUCCGGAUUCAUUGGGCGUAAAGAGCGUGUAGGCGGCCAGGUAGGUCGGUUGUGAAAACUGGAGGCUCAACCUUCAGAGGUCGACCGAAACCAUCUGGCUAGAGUCCGGGAGAGGAGAGUGGAAUUCCUGGUGUAGCGGUGAAAUGCGCAGAUAUCAGGAAGAACACCCGUGGCGAAAGCGGCUCUCUGGAACGGUACUGACGCUGAGACGCGAAAGCGUGGGGAGCGAACAGG